GGGGCUGUAGUUCAGUUUGGGAGAACGCUUGACUGGCAGUCAAGAGGUCACCGGUUCGGGUCCGGUCAGCUCCACAA
RNAcentral lists this transfer RNA (77 nucleotides) under bacterium. RNAcentral's name for it is "tRNA-Ala". It matches the Rfam family "tRNA". Rfam says of the family: Transfer RNA (tRNA) molecules are approximately 80 nucleotides in length. The record is from RNAcentral.